RNAcentral lists this ribosomal RNA (433 nucleotides) under uncultured bacterium. RNAcentral describes it as "partial 16S ribosomal RNA". It matches the Rfam family "Bacterial small subunit ribosomal RNA", at positions 29 to 507 of the family's 1533-position model. The record is from RNAcentral.
AAUGAACGCUGGCGGCAUGCCUAACACAUGCAAGUCGAACGAAGGCUUCGGCCUUAGUGGCGCACGGGUGCGUAACGCGUGGGAAUCUGCCCCUUGGUUCGGAAUAACAGUUAGAAAUGACUGCUAAUACCGGAUGAUGACGUAGGUCCAAAGAUUUAUCGCCGAGGGAUGAGCCCGCGUAGGAUUAGCUAGUUGGUGUGGUAAGAGCGCACCAAGGCGACGAUCCUUAGCUGGUCUGAGAGGAUGAUCAGCCACACUGGGACUGAGACACGGCCCAGACUCCUACGGGAGGCAGCAGUGGGGAAUAUUGGACAAUGGGCGAAAGCCUGAUCCAGCAAUGCCGCGUGAGUGAUGAAGGCCUUAGGGUUGUAAAGCUCUUUUACCCGGGAUGAUAAUGACAGUACCGGGAGAAUAAGCUCCGGCUAACUCCGUG